Molecule: ribosomal RNA, 492 nt
Filed under: uncultured bacterium
Lineage: Bacteria
Description: partial 16S ribosomal RNA
Rfam family: Bacterial small subunit ribosomal RNA
Source: RNAcentral
AGUGAACGCUGGCGGUAGGCCUAACACAUGCAAGUCGAACGGCAGCACAGUAAGAGCUUGCUCUUACGGGUGGCGAGUGGCGGACGGGUGAGGAAUACAUCGGAAUCUACUUUUUCGUAGGGGAUAACGUAGGGAAACUUACGCUAAUACCGCAUACGACCUACGGGUGAAAGCAGGGGAUCUUCGGACCUUGCGCGAUUGAAUGAGCCGAUGUCGGAUUAGCUAGUUGGCGGGGUAAAGGCCCACCAAGGCGACGAUCCGUAGCUGGUCUGAGAGGAUGAUCAGCCACACUGGAACUGAGACACGGUCCAGACUCCUACGGGAGUCAGCAGUGGGGAAUAUUGGACAAUGGGCGCAAGCCUGAUCCAGCCAUACCGCGUGGGUGAAGAAGGCCUUCGGGUUGUAAAGCCCUUUUGUUGGGAAAGAAAAGCAGCAGGUUAAUACCCCGCUGUUCUGACGGUACCCAAAGAAUAAGCACCGGCUAACUUCGUG